AGAGAAAGCAAAAGGUAAGCUGUUUCUAUAUUAUUUCUUCUUUUUCUUAAAUGUGGCUUCCAGUUAUGCAACCUUGUAUUGUUUGCAUACCAUUCUUCAUUUGUAAGAUAAUUAUGUGUGCAUAUGCUUCAAUGCAAUCAUAAGUAGGGAUAGUUUAGUUCUUGGCUGGAUGUUGAAAUUCUUUGUGAUAGCAUUAGAGAGAUAGGAGAAG
This 211-nucleotide unclassified non-coding RNA is filed under the name Hevea brasiliensis (rubber tree). The record is from RNAcentral. Lineage: Eukaryota; Viridiplantae; Streptophyta; Magnoliopsida; Malpighiales; Euphorbiaceae.